CCUCACCUCCUUGAGGAUUUGAGUCGCCACAGAUGAGCCUUUCAAUGUAAGAAGAGGCGACGUCAUUAUCGUGCCUGGGGGAAUGCCAUGGUGUGUACAGUGUGGUGUCGGCAGUCCAUUUCUACAACUGCAAUUAGGGCCCAUCAAUGGAGGUGUCAGCCACAUUCAAAGUCGGUCGGGGCUCACCCAUGAAAUUCAUAAUGGGAUAAAAGUUCCAUUCCGGGACUGACGACUUCAAAUGGAAUUUGGUGAGUUCAGGGGAAUGGAUUCAAGAGCUGCUGUGCGGAGGGAUACAGCUUCAUCAGAGGAGAAGUCGGCCUGGGGAAGCACCUUCAGGCAUGCUGCCCUCCCCUGGCCCCCAGUCCAAGGAGGAAACAGUGACUGCAGUUCCCAGGAGGCUGCUCUCAAAGUCAUCCUUGCUUUGUUGAACCUCAAUUUCAGUCUCCCAUCCUGUACCUGUGGCCCUUUUCUCUUUAUCUUCCCUCACUCAUUAAGAAGAACUACUAUUUCCAAAACACCUACCUGUUCCUGUCACUCUGUGAAGGGCUUCCCAUGUCCUGAAUGCAAGGUAGGCGUCAUUAUCAUGCCUAGCUUAUGUAAGAGGAAACUGAGGCUGAGACAGAUUCAGUAACUUGUCCAAGGUCACCCAGUGGGUUGAGUGGUAAAGCUGGGGUUAGAACCAGGGGGAAGUCUAAA
This is a long non-coding RNA of Suricata suricatta (meerkat), 696 nucleotides long. RefSeq lists it as uncharacterized. NCBI's taxonomy places the organism in Eukaryota, Metazoa, Chordata, Mammalia, Carnivora, Herpestidae. The record is from RefSeq and is a predicted model, not a curated record. The transcript has 3 exons.